UUGUAAGUGUUUAAGGGCGCAUGGUGGAUGCCUUGGCAUCAGGAGCCGAUGAAGGACGUGGGAGGCCGCGAUAGUCCUCGGGGAGUUGUCAGCCGAGCUGUGAUCCGAGGGUGUCCGAAUGGGGAAACCCAGCACGAGUGAUGUCGUGUUACCCGCCGCUGAAUGUAUAGGUGGUGUGGAGGGAACGCGGGGAAGUGAAACAUCUCAGUACCUGCAGGAAGAGAAAACAAGAGUGAUUCCGUGAGUAGUGGCGAGCGAAAGCGGAUGGUGGCUAAACCUUAUGCGUGUGAUACCCGGCGGGGGUUGCGUAUGGGGGGUUGUGGGGCAGUGUUGUUCUGUUACCGCCGUGACAGUCAGGUCUAGUGUGUGUGUUAGCGGAAGCCGCUUGGGAUGGUGUGCCGGAGAGGGUGAGAGUCCCGUACGCGAAAAUGCAUGCCUGGUCUGUGAUGCUGUACCCGAGUAGCAGCGGGCUCGUGGAAUCUGCUGUGAAUCUGCCGGGACCACCCGGUAAGCCUGAAUACUCCCUGAUGACCGAUAGUGGAUGAGUACCGUGAGGGAAUGGUGAAAAGUACCCCGGGAGGGGAGUGAAAUAGUACCUGAAACCAUGCGCUUACAAUCCGUCAGAGCCUUGCUUUUGUGGGGUGAUGGCGUGCCUUUUGAAGAAUGAGCCUGCGAGUUAGUGGCAUGUCGCGAGGUUAACCCGUGGGGGGUAGCCGUAGCGAAAGCGAGUCUGAAUAGGGCGCGUGUAGUGGCAUGUUCUAGGCCCGAAGCGGAGUGAUCUACCCAUGGCCAGGGUGAAGCGUCGGUAAGACGUCGUGGAGGCCCGAACCCACUUAGGUUGAAAACUGAGGGGAUGAGUUGUGGGUAGGGGUGAAAGGCCAAUCAAACUCCGUGAUAGCUGGUUCUCCCCGAAAUGCAUUUAGGUGCAGCGUCGCGUGUUUCUUGCCGGAGGUAGAGCUACUGGAUGGCCGAUGGGCCUCACCAGGUUACUGACGUCAGCCAAACUCCGAAUGCCGGUAAGUGAGAGCGCGGCAGUGAGACUGCGGGCGAUAAGGUUCGCUGGUCGAGAGGGAAACAGCCCAGAUCGCCGGCUAAGGCCCCUAAGCGUGUGCUAAGUGGGAAAGGAUGUGGGACCGCUCAGACAGCCAGGAGGUUGGCUUAGAAGCAGCCACCCUUGAAAGAGUGCGUAAUAGCUCACUGGUCUAGUGGUCCUGCGCCGACAAUGUAGCGGGGCUCAAGCACACCGCCGAAGCCGCGGCGCUCCAGCAGUAACAUCCACACACAAUUGAGUUGUGUGUGCAGUGGCUGGGGCGGGUAGGGGAGCGUCCUGCAUCCAGGGAAGCAGCCGUGUGAACGAGUUGUGGAGGGUGUGGGAGUGAGAAUGCAGGCAUGAGUAGCGAAAGCAGAGUGAGAAACUCUGCCGCCGGAUGACCAAGGGUUCCUGGGGCAGGUUAAUCCGCCCAGGGUGAGUCGGGACCUAAGGCGAGGCCGACAGGCGUAGUCGAUGGAUAACGGGUUGAUAUUCCCGUACCCGUGUGGGCGCGUCAAUGGCGAAUCAGUUGUGCUAACCGUCCUGAUGGUGAAAGACCCGCUUCGGUGGGCUGGAUCCGGAUGCACGGGACCCUGGCUGGUAGUAGUCAAGCGAUGGGGUGACGCAGGAAGGUAGUGGGGCCAGUGAGUGGUAGUACUGGUGUAAGCCGGUAGGGAGGGACAUAGGUAAAUCCGUGUCCCGCUAUAUCCUGAGAGGUGAUGCGACCCCAUAGAUGGGGGAUUCCAUGAUCCUAUGCUGCCGAGAAAAGCCUCUAGCGAGUUCCCGCACGGCCCGUACCCCAAACCGACACAGGUGGUCAGGUAGAGAAUACUAAGGCGAUCGAGUGAACUGUGGUUAAGGAACUCGGCAAAAUGCCCCCGUAACUUCGGGAGAAGGGGGACCACGCCUGGUGAACACCCUUUGCGGUGGGAGCUGGGGGUGGUCGCAGAGACCAGAGAGAAGCGACUGUUUACUAAAAACACAGGUCCGUGCGAAGCCGCAAGGCGAGGUAUACGGACUGACGCCUGCCCGGUGCUGGAAGGUUAAGAGGACCGGUUAGCUCCCCUUGCGGGGGGCGAAGCUGAGAAUUUAAGCCCCAGUAAACGGCGGUGGUAACUAUAACCAUCCUAAGGUAGCGAAAUUCCUUGUCGGGUAAGUUCCGACCUGCACGAAUGGCGUAACGACUUCUCUGCUGUCUCAACCACAGGCUCGGUGAAAUUGCAUUACGAGUAAAGAUGCUCGUUACGCGCGGCAGGACGAAAAGACCCCGGGACCUUUACUGCAGCUUGGUAUUGGUGUCUGGUUCGGUUUGUGUAGGAUAGGUGGGAGACUGUGAAACCCUCACGCCAGUGGGGGCGGAGUCGUUGUUGAAAUACCACUCUGACCGGAUUGGGCAUCUAACCUCGGACCCUGAACGGGUUCAGGGACAGUGCCUGGUGGGUAGUUUAACUGGGGCGGUUGCCUCCUAAAAGGUAACGGAGGCGCCCAAAGGUUCCCUCAGCCUGGUUGGCAAUCAGGUGUUGAGUGCAAGUGCACAAGGGAGCUUGACUGUGAGACGUACAGGUCGAGCAGGGACGAAAGUCGGGACUAGUGAUCCGGCACCCCCGAGUGGAAGGGGUGUCGCUCAACGGAUAAAAGGUACCCCGGGGAUAACAGGCUGAUCUUCCCCAAGAGUCCAUAUCGACGGGAUGGUUUGGCACCUCGAUGUCGGCUCGUCGCAUCCUGGGGCUGGAGUAGGUCCCAAGGGUUGGGCUGUUCGCCCAUUAAAGCGGCACGCGAGCUGGGUUUAGAACGUCGUGAGACAGUUCGGUCUCUAUCCGCCGCGCGCGUACAGAAACUUGAGGAAACCUGUCCCUAGUACGAGAGGACCGGGACGGACGGACCUCUGGUAUGCCAGUUGUCCCGCCAGGGGCACGGCUGGUUAGCUAAGUCCGGAAGGGAUAACCGCUGAAAGCAUCUAAGCGGGAAGCCCGUUCCAAGAUGAGGUUUCUCACCCUCCUAGAAGGGGUAAGGCCCCCCACAGACCAUGGGGUUGAUAGGCCAGAACUGGAAGCCCAGCAAUGGGUGCAGGUGACUGGUACUAACCGGCCGAGGACUUACACAC
RNAcentral lists this ribosomal RNA (3134 nucleotides) under Hoyosella sp. YIM 151337. Its description in RNAcentral is "23S ribosomal RNA". It matches the Rfam family "Bacterial large subunit ribosomal RNA". The record is from RNAcentral. Lineage: Bacteria; Bacillati; Actinomycetota; Actinomycetes; Mycobacteriales; Hoyosellaceae.